CUUUAGCCGUCACCCUUUUGUACUUGAGAGUAGAUGAUGUAUAGGGUGAGGUGGAGUGAUUGUAUUUAUAUUUUGGAAGAAUGUAAAGACGUAAUUGAAUGUAUUAAGUCAAAUGAAUGUAAUAGAUAGCUUCUUCUCUCUUUAUGUACUUGUAUAUGUUUCUAUACUUGUAUCUUGCUCUUGGUUGUCGCACUAGUGGUGCUUCUUGAUCGUGUAUUUAUGAAUUGAAUUUCUGGGUAAAUUCUUAUACAUGAUCUGUUGGUUGCCUUGGGCGGACAGGGGAGGUCCUGUCCGUCCGGCGUCUGUUCGACGCGCCCGGGCCGGACCAAAUUGGUAGCGGUCGCGGGGCGUGACAGAUAAAGUGGUAUCAGAGCACCAGAGCAAGUAAAGAGAGAGUCUAGGAUG
This 405-nucleotide long non-coding RNA is filed under the name Ananas comosus (pineapple). Its description in RNAcentral is "long non-coding RNA (ACOM_LNC017776)". Lineage: Eukaryota; Viridiplantae; Streptophyta; Magnoliopsida; Poales; Bromeliaceae. The record is from RNAcentral.